Non-coding RNA from Misgurnus anguillicaudatus (oriental weatherfish), 1644 nucleotides. Lineage: Eukaryota; Metazoa; Chordata; Actinopteri; Cypriniformes; Cobitidae. The record is from RefSeq and is a predicted model, not a curated record.
CUCAUAAUAUUCACUUGGUUUAGCUAAAUUAAACUGUUAUUUCUCUGUCUGACUCUACGCAGCCAUUUGCCAAAAAACCUAAAUAAGAUAUUUUUCCCAUUUUAUUUCCCCUUUGUUCGUUAUUUGGUUCAGUUUAAUCAGAGCUACCUUGUGUUACGUUGUUCCCUUGUUAGUUUGGUAUAAAGUUAAACUUCUAGCUAAACGUUUUAACCAAGAAGGAUAAUAUUAACAGGAGAUAUGAAUGAAUGUAAGAAUUGAACCCUGAUAAAACGCGACAUGCACUACAAAUUGAAGGUAUGAAAUUAAGUUAAAUGAAAGCUCGUUUAUUCACCAUAUGAUGCUCGUUAUGAGGUAAUCAUAUAGAUACCGUGAGUUAACGAGGUCGUUUACAUGCACGUGAGUGCACGGAUAUCGGUUAAUUAUUCAAAUUACUGAAAAACACGGAGAAAACCGCAACUGCAUCGUCAUGUGUGUUUUUUUUUUUUUUAGAUGUAACGUUAUGCAAACAGGGAAAAUAUCGCCAAACCAACAAUUCAUUUUACCUCAGAAUAUGCACAGAUUGGAUGCAUUGUGUGUUGUAAGCUUUUCGUGGCGCUAGAUGUCAGACAGAUGCAAAUAGCAAAUACAUACGAAAGUGUAAAACGUGUAUGGCGAACAUUUGUUUUUCUGUCAUUAUAGAUGCUAGUUUGGUGAAAGUACACACUGAGUGCUUAAAAUCAUUCAGAAGAGAUGCUGUUUUUAGGGCAGUUUAUUAAAGAAGACCUGACAUGGAUGACUUCCAAUGAGAAACGACUGCUAAAACGUAUAUAAAUUCAUUACAGAAGGACCCUACCAGACUAUAUUUGAAUACGGCAUACCCAUGAAUUCUGGAACUGUUAUUCCUUAACCCAGUUUGGAGGAUAAGAGCUUACCAACUAUAAAUAUGCUGAGGUGAUGUAUUGCAAAAUAGCCAACAUACAACAAUUAAAGGAUAAUUGCAGCCUAUAUCCUGAUGAAGAUAUGGAUGACCCUCUGUCUGGUCAACAGGAGUUUAAAUAUGGACGGGACAGUUAUGUGGCAGCUCUUCCCUGGCUCAUUCACCUCUUGCCUUCAUUUGUGAAAGGAAGAAAGACUGGGUCAAUGUGCAACUGAAGCUACUGAUUGUGCUGUGUGUUGAGCAUCAAUCCAUGCUUUGAGGUGGAUGGAUCAGCACAGCCCUGCCUGCUCUGCGUUGGGAACAAAAGUUGCAUCCAGAAUUUUUGCAUCAUUCUGGACCAAAAAGCCAUUCCCUCCAUGAUGAAGACCACUGAUGCAGCCUUCCACUACAUCAUGAGUAAAACAACUACAGAACUAAAUACCAGGUUGGAACGUAUUUAAGAAAAAUGAAACGUCUUUUGAAUUGAAAUGUCUGUUUUGUUAUGGAAAAAUCUUUAGUAUUGUGAAGGAUAACAGUUCUGCCUGCCGAUAAGGUAAUUGCAUGUAUUUUAAUGUUCAAGUUUUGAGUAGGGUGGCUAAUUUUUUUUAACUCUUAUUUGAUUUAUUAAAGACCUUUAUAAUAAGUGGUUUUCAUGUCACUGCGCUGUGGUAUAAGAUAACUUUCAUUAUUCCAUACUGUAUUCUGUGUCUAAUUGUAGCUGAGAUAUUUAAAUAAGCAGUGUUAAAUGC